RNAcentral lists this ribosomal RNA (1239 nucleotides) under Triticum aestivum (bread wheat). RNAcentral's name for it is "partial small subunit ribosomal RNA". Lineage: Eukaryota; Viridiplantae; Streptophyta; Magnoliopsida; Poales; Poaceae. The record is from RNAcentral.
AUGCUCGACGGGUACUUCAAGGCCGGCCGCGUCGACCACGCCCGCACGCUGUUCGACGGAAUGGCGGUGAAGACCAUCUCCGCGUGGACCCGCGUGGUAUCUGGGUACUGCCGCGCCGGGCGCGUCGAAGAGGCGCGCGCUGUGUUCGACGCGAUGCCGGCCCGCGACGUCGUCUCGUGGACGGCCAUGUUGCAGGGGUACGCGCGCAGCGGGAUGAUGAGGGAGGCGCGCGGGCUGUUCGACGCCAUGCCGGCCAGCGACUUCUUCUCUUGGACGGUGAUGUUACAGGGGUACGUGCGCAGCGGGAUGCUGAUGGAGGCGAGGGAAGUGUUCGACCAGAUGCCGGAGAGGAACGUGGUCACCUGGACGGUCAUGGUGAAGGCCUAUGCCGACCACGGCCACCUCCAGGAGGCCAUGGAGCUGUUCGACAGGAUGCCUCAGAGGAACCUGUAUUCCUGGAACAUAAUGAUCUCUUGUUCCCUCCGUGCUGGGAAAGUGGACGAGGCGGUUCGGCUGUUCGAGAGGAUGCCAGAUAGGAAUGCUGUUUCUUGGACCACGAUGGUCACAGGCUUAGCGCAGAACGGCCGUGUUUUGAUGGCACGAGAGUUCUUUGACAGAAUGCCGGAAAACAGGGACGCCGCGGCAUGGAAUGCGAUGAUUACUGCUUAUGCCAACAAUGGCCAGAUGAACAAGGCUCGGAGAUUGUUCGAUUCUAUGCCCGCAAAGGACCUGGUGAGCUGGAGUGCUAUAAUCCAUGGCUAUGCCAAAAACAAGCACAAGGGCGAAGUCAUGGGUUUAUUUCGUCUCAUGCUCCGGUCAGCAGUAUCCCCUGACAGAUUUACAUUGAUCAGUGUCUUGGUUACAUCCGAGAGCACAGUUGAAGUUGGGCAAAUCCAUGGCUUGGCUACCACACGAGGUCUCCUGUCAGACACCUCCUUAGGAAAUGCUCUGCUCACCAUGUAUUCAAGGAGCGGUGACCUGCACUCUGCCUGGCAAGUUUUCAAAAUGUUACAAGAGAAGGAUCCCAUCACAUGGACAUUGAUGAUGCGGGCCUUCGCCAACCAUGGCCGUGCCUCCUACGCGCUGCAGGCCUUUGCUCAGAUGUUGCAACAUGGAUACAAGCCCAGCUCGACCACCUUUAUCGCCGGUCUCGUCGACGAAGGCCAUGCCUUCAGGGUGCAUUGCCGCCUAAGCGUCCAAGUUGGGAACAGUGGUGGGGGAAGCUCUUCCAAAGUCUGA